GUGGGGAAUCUUGCGCAAUGGGGGCAACCCUGACGCAGCCAUGCCGCGUGAAUGAUGAAGGCCUUAGGGUUGUAAAGUUCUUUUGCCCGUGACGAUGAUGACGGUAACGGGAGAAUAAGCUCCGGCUAACUUCGUGCCAGCAGCCGCGGUAAUACGAAGGGGGCUAGCGUUGUUCGGAAUUACUGGGCGUAAAGCGCGCGUAGGCGGACUGGAAAGUUGGGGGUGAAAUCCCGGGGCUCAACCUCGGAACUGCCUUCAAAACUAUCAGUCUGGAGUUCGAGAGAGGUGAGUGGAAUUCCGAGUGUAGAGGUGAAAUUCGUAGAUAUUCGGAGGAACACCAGUGGCGAAGGCGGCUCACUGGCUCGAUACUGACGCUGAGGUGCGAAAGCGUGGGGAGCAAACAGGAUUAGAAACCCGGGUAGUCC
This 425-nucleotide ribosomal RNA is filed under the name uncultured Paracoccaceae bacterium. Its description in RNAcentral is "bacterial SSU rRNA". It matches the Rfam family "Bacterial small subunit ribosomal RNA", at positions 354 to 796 of the family's 1533-position model. The record is from RNAcentral. Lineage: Bacteria; Pseudomonadati; Pseudomonadota; Alphaproteobacteria; Rhodobacterales; Paracoccaceae.